RNAcentral lists this ribosomal RNA (488 nucleotides) under uncultured bacterium. RNAcentral's name for it is "partial 16S ribosomal RNA". It matches the Rfam family "Bacterial small subunit ribosomal RNA", at positions 28 to 507 of the family's 1533-position model. The record is from RNAcentral.
GAUGAACGCUAGCGGCAGGCCUAAUACAUGCAAGUCGGACGGGAUCCAUUGAUAGCUUGCUAUCAAUGGUGAGAGUGGCGCACGGGUGCGUAACGCGUGAGCAACCUGCCUCCAUCAGGGGGAUAGCCUCUCGAAAGAGAGAUUAACACCGCAUAAUAUCAACAGUUCGCAUGUUCAGUUGAUUAAAUAUUUAUAGGAUGGAGAUGGGCUCGCGUGACAUUAGCUAGUUGGUAGGGUAACGGCUUACCAAGGCGACGAUGUCUAGGGGCUCUGAGAGGAGAAUCCCCCACACUGGUACUGGGACACGGACCAGACUCCUACGGGAGGCAGCAGUAAGGGAUAUUGGUCAAUGGGCGGAAGCCUGAACCAGCCAUGCCGCGUGCAGGAUGACUGCCCUAUGGGUUGUAAACUGCUUUUGUCCAGGAAUAAACCUAAAUACGAGUAUUUAGCUGAAUGUACUGGAAGAAUAAGAAUCGGCUAACUCCGUG